This is a long non-coding RNA of Heterocephalus glaber (naked mole-rat), 757 nucleotides long. Lineage: Eukaryota; Metazoa; Chordata; Mammalia; Rodentia; Bathyergidae. The record is from Ensembl.
AUCUUGGGCUCUUUGGUGCCGGUCGAUCUCCCCGCUGUCUCUGGACUGUCUGUCAGCCGUUGUGGACACCCCUCUUCUCUCAUGGACCCGUAGUAAGCCAUAGGACAAAGGCUGAGGGGUUGGCAUGGGCAUUGCCCAGGUACAGUACUGGGAAUCAAACUGAGAACCUUUUCCUUGCCAGGCAGGCAAGACACCACUGCAAAUUAACCUUUAUAACUAUAUUUUUUGAGUUUGUCCAGCAGAAGGGAGUUAUUGUCCAUUUGAACUGUGGAAUAAUGAGCAGUAUCUCACUGGGACUUUAUGGUGACAAUCAAAUUCAGGGACUAAGACUUAGACAUGUCACCUGUUCAGUUACCCUUCCAUGCUUCUUGCCUCAAUAUUUUUUAAUGCUUAGUACCAAUGGUAACAUAGGCUUGUUGGUAGGGUUACCAUAUAGCUUAGCACCCAAACUGGGGCAGUUUGGGGGGGGGCAUUCUUCUAAUAAUUACGUUGUGAUAACAGCUGUAAACAAGGAUUGUUUCAGCCAACCAGAACUUAUGGCCAUUGGAUCUGCUGACUGUCCACUGUUAGUCAGCCAUAGAUCCCAACUCAUUAUUUAGUCUUCCAUGAGCGCUCAACUCUAGUCACCUGACACCCAAGACCUACCCUAUUGGUACACGGUGACCUGGAAGGCUGGUCCCCAGUAGCCCAGUACACACAGGAGGUGCAAGCUAUGCUGUCAGAGGGCCAGACGGUCCAGUUCUUCUGAACACCUGCC